CUACAUUCUCUCUGACGGGAAACAUCCGUUUGAGGACACAAAGGAUCGUGAGGAGAACUUCAAGAAUGGGCAGCACUCUCUUGAAGAUUUACAAGAUACAGUAGCAAAGGAUCUCUUUAAAUGGAUGAUCAAGAAAGACCCGGCAGAGAGACUGACUAUUGAUGAGGUCCUGCGACACCCUUAUUUCUGGGAUGAAGACAGAAAUGUCAGAAAUGUAUUUGAAGAGAAGAGGAUUUUUGACCUCUUUCCAGACUUUUUCAUCAGUUUACACAGAGUGGCAAAAGACUUGAGCUGGAAAUAUUGAAGAUGCUGAGAGGACAUUACACCACAACAUACCAAAAGCAUUUACACUUUUAACAGUCGACAUCAAACUUCUCAUUAUUUGAAGUGGAGCAAUCAUUCUUGUCGACAUUUAAGCACUGUGCUCAGAAUUAUUACUUGCAGAUUUUCACAGUUGCUAAGACACUAAACCCCAUUAUCUUAACCAAAUUCUGAAUAGCCUAAACCAAUUUGUCAAAUAAAUCUGGUUUCUGCAAAACCUUUAAAAAAUUCAGACAUUGACUGGCAAUGGACAAAAUCGCCUGUGACAUAGAUGAAGUCCUCUGGCUGGACCCAGCUCUAAGACCUGAUCCUGAGGUAGAAUAAUAUUUCUGUUCUUUGUGUGUGUACAGGUUUAUAUAUCCUGGUGGGGACUUAAACCUGAAUAGACACAGACUCAUGGGGACUCGUGUCACGGUGGGGACCUAAAUUGUGAAUCUAAAAUCUAAAAAUGCAGAAAGUUUCCUGUAAGGGGUAGGUUUAGGGGUAGGGUUGGUGUAGGGCAAUAGAAUAUACGGUCUGUACAGUAUAAAAACCAUUACGCCUAUGGAGAGUCCCCACAAGGAUAGCUGACCAGACGUGUGUGUGUGUGUGUGUGUCUGUGUUUGUGUGUCUGUGUCUGUGUUCGUGUGCGUGUGCAUGUGUGUGUGUGUGUGUGUGUCUGUGUGUCUCUGUGUGUGUGUGUGUGUGUGUCUGUGUUUGUGUGUCUGUGUCUGUGUCUGUGUUCGUGUGCGUGUGCAUG
RNAcentral lists this long non-coding RNA (1060 nucleotides) under Sinocyclocheilus grahami. RNAcentral's name for it is "lncRNA (ENSSGRG00000039343.1)". Lineage: Eukaryota; Metazoa; Chordata; Actinopteri; Cypriniformes; Cyprinidae. The record is from RNAcentral.